CGCAAGCCUGACGGAGCAACGCCGCGUGUGGGAAGAAGGCUCUUGGGCUGUCAACCACUUUUCUCAGGGAAGAAGCCCUGACGGUACCUGAGGAAUCAGCCUCGGCUAACUCCGUGCCAGCAGCCGCGGUAAUACGGAGGAGGCAAACGUUAUCCGGAAUUAUUGGGCGUAAAGCGUCCGCAGGGGGCACAUCAAGUCUGCUGUUAAAGGCUGGAGCUUAACUCCGGUAGAGCAGUGGAAACUGGUGUGCUAGAGGGCGACAGGGGUAGAGGGAAUUCCCAGUGUAGCGGUGAAAUGCGUAGAGAUUGGGAAGAACACCGGCGGCGAAAGCGCUCUACUGGGUCGCACCUGACCCUCAGGGACGAAAGCUAAGGUAGCG
This 379-nucleotide ribosomal RNA is filed under the name uncultured cyanobacterium. RNAcentral describes it as "bacterial SSU rRNA". It matches the Rfam family "Bacterial small subunit ribosomal RNA", at positions 376 to 770 of the family's 1533-position model. Lineage: Bacteria; Bacillati; Cyanobacteriota. The record is from RNAcentral.